UUCACAAGACUCUGGUCAGUUUCACGACAGCUGUUUUCAACCCUAUGAGGAUCAGUGAAGCUGUCCAGAAUCCCAUCAAUUUCACGCAGGGUUUCUUGGGAGCAGUGAGCAGCAGCAGAGGCAGACGUUGGAGCUAAUCACAGGUGAGGAUGACACACAAACAGGCAGGGGAGAGAUUCUGGAGACCAGCCCUGUCUCAGCAGCAGCAGCGCAGCGGAGAGGUUGCAGGGGGAGGGAGGAGCGUACAGUAGCAGAGACUCCUCCAGCCCUGGAGUAGGGAGAGGAGCUCCAGCCUCAGGCCCAGAUUCUGAGAACAGUUAAGCACACGUUUACCUGGCUGUAGCCACACCACACAGUUUUUGUACUGCUGUAACUAGGUUGGCUAGGGGAUGUGAUUUUUUUCUUUUAACCAACAUAUUUCUACUGAUACAACCCCUCACAUAGACCGUUAUAUCAGAACAGAUCCUUCCCUUUCCCGGAGAGACGCGCUAUACUGGUAUAAACACCUUUGUACUGGUAUAUCUGCACCCACGCUAGCUUACGGCCAGGUGGGACCAUUAGAUCAUCUCACCUGACCUCCUGUUUAGCCCAGGACAGAAAAUUUCAUGCCGUUCUCUCUGCACUGAGCCCAGUAACUUGUGUUUGGCUAAAGCAGAUCUUCCCAAAAGGCCUCCAGUCUGGAUCUGAAGCCUUUGAGAAGGAGCAGUGACCCCUUCCCUUGGCUCCUCCGAUGGCAUGGUUAGAAAUGUGGGCCUUAUUGGCAAUUUUGAAUUUGUCCGGCUUUAACCCCCAGCGACUGGUAUAGGAACCCCACUGGGACACUUUAAGCCGUACAAUUUUUGUGGGUAGACAAGGCCUUAGACACUUUCCAGUCAGGGAUUUAUGUGAAAGCGAAGCUCAUGAGGAAGGUCACAGGAUAGCAGCAAAGUAGAAAUGUCAGCAACCCUCUCCUUCCCCACAGCUGGGGACCUGGGUCACUGCCUUAGAUCUCUUUAGGGAGCCCCAGCCAUCCUUCCUACUACCCUCUGGCUAUGAGAUGUCUGGUAACUUUUUCAAGUCAAGUACUAAACUCUGUCCCUCUCCACAACAGGUAUAAUAAUAAUCAAACAUGACGCUUCACCCCCUCUGCAGCUCAGGUUCCUAAAGCCUGUGGCUCUGCACACACUCAGGGCUUGUGACAAACAAGGGGAACUCCUUACGGUCAUAAGUGAUGAUUUCUUCUCCAUCCUCCUCCUCCAUUGCUCUGUUUGCGAUCAGCACAAAGUCCCUCUUGUUGCACUCCACACACCCCACGUAGUUGAGCAGGAAGGAUCCGUUCUCCAGGCAGGUGUUACCCUA
Molecule: long non-coding RNA, 1338 nt
Organism: Gopherus flavomarginatus (Mexican gopher tortoise)
Lineage: Eukaryota; Metazoa; Chordata; Testudines; Testudinidae
Exons: 2
Source: RefSeq, a predicted model, not a curated record